RNAcentral lists this transfer RNA (76 nucleotides) under Candidatus Uhrbacteria bacterium RIFCSPLOWO2_02_FULL_51_9. Its description in RNAcentral is "tRNA-Pro". It matches the Rfam family "tRNA". Rfam says of the family: Transfer RNA (tRNA) molecules are approximately 80 nucleotides in length. Their secondary structure includes four short double-helical elements and three loops (D, anti-codon, and T loops). Further hydrogen bonds mediate the characteristic L-shaped molecular structure. tRNAs have two regions of fundamental functional importance: the anti-codon, which is responsible for specific mRNA codon recognition, and the 3' end, to which the tRNAs corresponding amino acid is attached (by aminoacyl-tRNA synthetases). tRNAs cope with the degeneracy of the genetic code in two manners: having more than one tRNA (with a specific anti-codon) for a particular amino acid; and 'wobble' base-pairing, i.e. permitting non-standard base-pairing at the 3rd anti-codon position. Lineage: Bacteria; Candidatus Uhriibacteriota. The record is from RNAcentral.
CGGGGUGUAGCUCAGUUGGUAGAGCAUCUGGUUUGGGACCAGAGGGUCGCACGUUCGAGUCGUGUCACCCCGACCA